This 31-nucleotide non-coding RNA is filed under the name Mus musculus (house mouse). The record is from RNAcentral. Lineage: Eukaryota; Metazoa; Chordata; Mammalia; Rodentia; Muridae.
UAAGCCUGAAAAGAGCUGGUUCACAGCCACA